CCCGUUUUACGGUACCUACCUACCUAAGUACUAGAACCUUUAAUGUCGUCUAAUGUUUGUUGUUUGCCGAGUACGAUUUUAGGAAUGGAAAUGAGCAUGACUCUGCACCUAGUUACAAGGCGCGAACUUCCCAAGCCUGGCUUGAAACCAACGUUCUGGACUUUAUAAGAGCUAAAGACUGGCCCUCAUCUAGCCCAGACCUCAACCCUUUAGACUUCAAAUUAUGUUAAUUUGGGUUGAAAUGAAGUUAUCGUACCUGAAAAGUAUAAGACGCCUAGUAUACUUGAAUAAAGAUAUGCAACAGAGCCGGUAUUUAGAUAUCUUUCAGUUUAAGACGGCAGACCACAAAGGCAGACCAAAAGGCAGACCAUAAACGAGUGUUCUGUCGUGUCCAAGUCGCGUUCGCAUGACUGACACUCCACCGUCAACUCAUCAUCGAUUCGGUAGCGAUACUGACAGAGUGCUGUCGAGGUUGUGCGGCUGUCGGAAAUAGUUAAUGGACCUGUUGCUUGUGACUGAUGGGUCAGCAUUGCAUUCCAACGGCGGUUCGUAUAGCAAAUCAACACCACUAAGUAAAUUUAUUUAUAUCAAGUAUCUCUUGUCCGACCACUAAAUAACUACAGCUGCUCAUCAUGGCAAUUAGUUGGGCCGUUGUGUUCGAGUGGCUACUCUGAAUAAUAAACUCGUUUUAAUUUCCCGA
Bombyx mori (domestic silkworm) is the source of this 700-nucleotide long non-coding RNA. RefSeq lists it as uncharacterized. Lineage: Eukaryota; Metazoa; Arthropoda; Insecta; Lepidoptera; Bombycidae. The transcript is spliced from 5 exons. The record is from RefSeq and is a predicted model, not a curated record.